GAUGAACGCUAGCGGCAGGCCUAACACAUGCAAGUCGAACGGUAACAGGAAAAGCUUGCUUUUUGCUGACGAGUGGCGCACGGGUGCGUAACGCGUAUACAAUCUACCUUUUACAGGGGGAUAGCCUUUAGAAAUGAAGAUUAAUACCCCAUAGAAUAUAUAGAUGGCAUCAUUUAAAUAUUAAAGUUUCGGCGGUAAAAGAUGAGUAUGCGUUCUAUUAGCUAGUAGGUGUGGUAACGGCACACCUAGGCGACGAUAGAUAGGGGCCCUGAGAGGGGGAUCCCCCACACUGGUACUGAGACACGGACCAGACUCCUACGGGAGGCAGCAGUGAGGAAUAUUGGACAAUGGGCGGAAGCCUGAUCCAGCCAUGCCGCGUGCAGGAAGACUGCCCUAUGGGUUGU
This 404-nucleotide ribosomal RNA is filed under the name uncultured bacterium. Its description in RNAcentral is "bacterial SSU rRNA". It matches the Rfam family "Bacterial small subunit ribosomal RNA", at positions 28 to 426 of the family's 1533-position model. The record is from RNAcentral.